Molecule: small nuclear RNA, 148 nt
Filed under: Castor canadensis (American beaver)
Lineage: Eukaryota; Metazoa; Chordata; Mammalia; Rodentia; Castoridae
Description: U4 spliceosomal RNA (ENSCCNG00000024919.1)
Rfam family: U4 spliceosomal RNA
About the family: U4 small nuclear RNA (U4 snRNA) is a component of the major U2-dependent spliceosome.
Source: Rfam by way of RNAcentral
AGCUUUGCGCAACGGCAGUAUUGUAGCCAAUGAGUUUAUCUGAGGCCCAAUUAUGGCUAAUUGAAAAGUUAGACCCAGUGUGAAUGAAUCUGUUUCUCUUGUUCUCUUGGAGAAACAGAUUGGAUGGGAGAAAAAACAAAGCAAUGUC